RNAcentral lists this ribosomal RNA (399 nucleotides) under uncultured bacterium. RNAcentral describes it as "partial 16S ribosomal RNA". It matches the Rfam family "Bacterial small subunit ribosomal RNA", at positions 338 to 734 of the family's 1533-position model. The record is from RNAcentral.
CCUUCGGGUGGCAGCAGUGAGGAAUAUUGGACAAUGGACGAGAGUCUGAACCAGCCAAGUAGCGUGAAGGAUGACUGCCCUCUGGGUUGUAAAUUUCUUUUAUCUGGGAAUAAAACGUUCCACGAGUGGGCUUUUGUAUGUACCAUAUGAAUAAGGAUCGGCGAACUCCGUGCCAGCAGCCGCGGUAAUACGGAGGAUCCGAGCGUUAGCCGGAUUUAUUGGGUUUAAAGGGAGCGUAGGUGGAUUGUUAAGUCAGUUGUGAAAGUUUGCGGCUCAACCGUAAAAUUGCAGUUGAAACUGGUAGUCUAGAGUACAGUAGAGGUGGGCGGAAUUCGUGGUGUAGCGGUGAAAUGCUUAGAUAUCACGAAGAACUCCGAUGGCGAAGGCAGCUCACUGGAC